This 202-nucleotide unclassified non-coding RNA is filed under the name Hevea brasiliensis (rubber tree). Lineage: Eukaryota; Viridiplantae; Streptophyta; Magnoliopsida; Malpighiales; Euphorbiaceae. The record is from RNAcentral.
AGAUGCAAGGCUUCAGGAAGUAGAAAUGAAACUCAAGACCUAUUCAGAGGCAGGUGAGCGCACGGAAGCUUUGGAAUCUGAGCUCUCGUACAUUCGCAAUUCUGCUACUGCACUAAGGGAGACAUUCUAUCUCAAAGACGCUGUUCUUCAGAAAAUAGAGGAGAUUCUAGAAGAUUUGGAGCUUCCGGAGCAUUUCCAUUCA